This is a long non-coding RNA of Parus major (Great Tit), 1346 nucleotides long. RefSeq lists it as uncharacterized. The record is from RefSeq and is a predicted model, not a curated record. NCBI's taxonomy places the organism in Eukaryota, Metazoa, Chordata, Aves, Passeriformes, Paridae. The transcript is spliced from 3 exons.
UCCUUCCCUUGCUCCAAGUAUCAGUUGGGAUUUCUCCCACUCAUUUGCCUGGAGGAGGAAACACUUGAGGAUGUUUCCAACAAGCCUGCAGGACCUGGAAAACACACACAUCUGAGGGUCUCCCGGGGACUGCCAUGAAAGGAGCCACACCGAGUGCUCGCUCUUCUUGCUGCUCUGAGGGCCUUGUGCGGCUGUGAGGUGACAAAGGCUCUGCGCUUCAGGAAGAAGAAAAGCGGAAGGAAACUGUGCAAGACGGGGGGUUCCCAGCCUAUGACACUGUCUUUAAACACGACCUGAAGGGAAAUCCGAGUCAGAACAUUAUGGAAGAGCAGAAAACAACACACUAGCCAGCACAACUAACCUGUCUCAGCAGCUCCAGAGUACUUGUCAAGACCAGAGGGAGGGAGCUGGAACCUUUCACCAGCUGGAACAAUUCCAGGCAGCAACCACAGCUCUUGAGUGCAGCCCUUUCAAACACCCAUUUUGCGCAAACGGAACGACGCACAUGCACAAGGAGCUUCAUGCUCUCUGUAUGGCUGGGAAUGGGGCGGCACCUACAGAGCCAGCUAAAGGAGCAUCUGCAGGAUGGCACUUCAGUGCUGGGGAGUGCCCUGCGGCAGCCAUGUGCGUGAUGUUGGCAAAAAACAAUUGUUUAUUCUCCUAGGAAACGAUCCAUCUGCAAAUGUUUCAAAUACCAACACAAUAUAACCGCAGCAACCCACAGUACGUGGCACAACCAAAUCGAGGGGUGUGCUUUCUGUACUCUGACGGGACGAUGAAACAGCAGCCCAUGCUAACUGGGUCCUACCCCUCCCUGUUUCCUCAAGAUCUUAUCCUUCUCCGUUCUACAAGCACUGCAGCCCAUGCAACCAGGUGAUGAGCCAGGCAAAGGUUAAUCCUGCAGCAAAGGGAUGAGCAGUGGCCCAGAUGGGUUCCCUGAACAGUGUCAGCUCGCAGUCACAGGGCUGCUGGUGCUGGCCCAGUGUGGGACCAAGCGGUGACUGAAGGCAGCUGUUUCUGACUCUGUGGACCUGUGCCCACCCUUGCCUGUUCACACCAAGGGCCUAAUGUCACACACCUGAGCCUAGAAGCUCAAACAAGGCCCUCUGCCCACUCACAACACAUCUUGGUGUUUCCAGUGCUUUUGAAAGCUCCGUGUUCCUGGCAGAGCUGGAUUACAGCAUGGAUCUAUCCACGCGCAUUGAUUCUUGUUACAAAGCACAAGUGUUCAUGUACUGUUAUGGUAUGUGGUUUGAUUUGCCUCCAAAGUGGGAAAGCAUCACAGACUCGUUAUUAUCUGUAUUUGAAAUAAAGACUGUAACAUCAUUUUGCAAAUAUGCACUUCA